RNAcentral lists this unclassified non-coding RNA (1064 nucleotides) under Hevea brasiliensis (rubber tree). The record is from RNAcentral. Lineage: Eukaryota; Viridiplantae; Streptophyta; Magnoliopsida; Malpighiales; Euphorbiaceae.
CUGAACUCAAUGCCAAAGUAAAGACUUUACAACUUAUGCCGUCAUUGCCUUCAUUAACCAUCACGGGUGAACUUGAACACAUCGGGUGAGGAACAGAACCAUACAAGGCUAAAGCCCGAAAAGGAGACCCAUAACCAUUCAAGGUGAAAAACUUAGGCAGGCAAAAAUCCCGGAUAAACAACAAAAAUAGAGAAUCAUGAAAGGACAAAGGCCAGCAACAAGAAACGGAGUCGCGGAAACACAAAGUAGUCCGCACCAUUGGUACUGUGAGGGCAAUGAUACUUCUAAUUGACAAACGUUCUACUUAUGCCAUUCCCUCUCAGCUACCCUCUCAACAAGCAGAGAACAAAUACUCGCGCCUCUAAAAUGACGAACGUCCAAGCUGGCCAACAAUGGAUACUUCUUUCAUUCAGCACAGACAGCAGGCAGAUUUCAAUCAAAGAAAACCUUCCCUUUUGACGCGCACAACUUGCAUGCAACACCACAACAAACCAAAACAAACAUAUACAGUUAAUUCUACCCAAACCCUCUUAGAUCUGCUGCUUCAAAAGCUUAUUUAUACACACAACCUUGCCCAGACGCAAGGAAGAUACAUCCACUUUUGAGACUGAAGAGAUCGGGCAGGGAAAAUCACUGAAAAACGGUGAAAGAGGCCAAGUACCUCAAGGUAAAGAGACUGGACGAGAGGAAAAGAGAGAGAAAGCAGCCCAAAUAGAAAAUGGAGAGAUAGAAAGACUGGUCCCUUAUCAUACAAUUUCACUAGGUUACAUUCCCCACCAUUUUCACUUUUUAUUUUGCACUUUUUUGGAGGGCAAGCUCAAGAAUUAGGCACAGCCAGUCGGACUAACUGGCGAGGAACAAAGGAAAAGAGAACCUAGCUAAGAUCAGCACAUCAGCUGCCACAUAGAUACAAAUAGGAUUAGAUGACACGAGGCACCAAUAACUCAAUAUGGCAUCAGUACAAAAAUAUAUUGAAAAAACAAAUCGUAAACUACAAAAUAAUAUGUACAUUACACGAGGCAGAAAAUCACAGGCAUGCAAGAAGCCUCAGUGUGCGCCCUCAG